UGGGGUUUACGUGUUAAGUCUCCGAGCUGCAGGUGACCACCCAGAGGCCUAACAUUCAGGGAGCAGAGUACCCUGGUCAGCGGAAGUGCCGGCUAACCAAAGGACAACCCACUCGGGAGAACUAGGCAGCUGGUACUCAGGAAUCUUUCAAGCAUCUUGUCUAAUCCCUUCCCUUUGUGUGGCUGAGGAAACAGACGGAUGGAUUAAGCUCCUCAAGGUCACCCAGCAAAGGCAGAUGGAGAAGGCAGCUUCCCAGCUGCUGCCCCACUGUGUGACGUCUCUGAGAUGUAGACUGGCCUGUGAGGAGCUGAAAAUGGGAUUUCACAACCCUUGACACUAGUCACUGAACCACGUGCACCAAGAACAAGUCAGUUCCCAUCUGAACUUGCAAAUGGAUACCAAAUUAGGGGGACACCCAAUAAAACGCUGGGCUGAAGCCCCCAAGCUCCAGAGCAACAGCUUGCCUCUCCUUCCCUCCUCCCCAGGCUUGUUUUCUCAGGUGCACAGCCCCUUGAAGGAGGAAGCCAAGGAUCACCUUGCCCUGUCCUCUGCAGGGGGCUGGACCCCACAGAAAACACAUGAAGAUCACCUGGACCUCAGAGCUGCCUUCUGCCCAAGGGGCCAGGGUGGGCACAGAGUAUGUACUUCUAGAAAACAAAGAGGCCGAUUUAUGGAGAAAGUUCAGCUUAGUUAUAAUCAUCUGUAAAGCACAUGGACACUGAGAACGUUUCAACAUCAGCCUAUGAGUAAGGUGAAAGAUUCAUGUGACGUUGGGUGACUUGCCCAAAGUUGCCCAGAACAGCCAGAAGCAGUGCCCAGCCUUGAACCUGGAUGUUCCACCCCUAAACUGGCUCCCCAAGACCGUAAAAUACAGUGUUCACUGUGUUAGAAUCAUCUGAGAUUCUCCUUAGGCUCUGGUGAGAUUAUUGGCCUUGGCCUUUCCCUUCCCCCCAGUGUGAGGAAGGUAGUUGAGUCUGAGGAGGGCUGGGCAGGGAAGGAUGAGGAUGAGAGGGAGCAAGGAAAGGGAGCAGGGGGGGAGGAGGGGUCCUCCGAAAGCUUUCUACUUAACAGCUUUGGUUUUCACAGACUAUUUUUGUUUUCAAGCACCAGCUUGAUAGGGACUGCUUUUUCUGGGGUGUCGGCAGGAUCACAGAGGUUUCCAGGUACAAAGAAAAGAUGCCUAGAGGACUGAGAUCCGGGUUGGUCUCUGGUUACAGGAGGAAGGGGAAAGAAGAGUUUCCAGGCCUCCGAGAACUUUCUGGAUGGCCAUUUCACUCUGCCAGUUAACAUGCACUGGGAAUGGAAUUAAGCCUGAAGAUCAUUUAUUUAUUUGUUUGUUUUUAAAGUGAUCACUUGGGGAAACUUCAGAUACUCACAGCCAUUGGCAAUGUUCUGAUGGGCUUAAGGCAAAAAGCACACUUCACCCCAGCUCUUAUUACAGCCCCACUGCCAAAUCUCACCUCCUAAAACACAGGGAAUUUGAAACGCAGUCACGAAUCCAGGUGUGUUUAGCUACCUCUCUCUUCCCAUUCUCCUGGGUGAUUCGGCCUCCUGUGGUCCUGCUGUGCAGCAGGCCUCUCCACAUGGCCGACACUUGGAGGCUGUUUCCAAACUGCUUUUGGGAAACAGAAUAAUUUGUAUUUUCAAUCUGGGAGAAAAAAUAAAAUGUCAGGCUGAAUGAAGACCAUAGGGCAGAAAGGAUUCCUCUGUCUAAUGACAAUGUGAGGCUCCAUGGAGGUAGGGGAGGGACUAAAAUGACCAGUUAGAGAAAGAGAUUUACUAGCCUCUUAAAUCCAACUUUGGAGGGAAAGGUAAGAAGAAAAGAAGAAGCCCUUUUGGAGACUGGUGGAUAAUUCUCUGUACUUAAACGUUUUGCUCAGCAGAAGAGAAAACCGGGGCUUAGAAGUGACAAAGGGGGACUGAAAUACAGAUCUCAACCUUCUGCUUAAUAAAUGCCAUAAGACUGAGAAAUAGAUUUGCUCUCUUAAAAAAAUAAAAAGGGCAGGGCACUGAACAAUCACCUCCCCUGACAACUGCUCUUUCUCUUGUCUUAUCUGCCAGCAAGCUUCAAUAUUAGCUCACUUCACUACACAAACAAUUCCUAUUACAGGACUCUUAGUCAUCCUGUUUUUCACUUUCUUCCACAAAGCAGAAGCCAUGAAGGUCUGAGUAUCCUCGCUGGGGCAGUCUUUUCCCAGACCCG
This is a non-coding RNA of Manis javanica (Malayan pangolin), 2203 nucleotides long. The record is from RefSeq and is a predicted model, not a curated record. NCBI's taxonomy places the organism in Eukaryota, Metazoa, Chordata, Mammalia, Pholidota, Manidae.